Anthonomus grandis grandis is the source of this 982-nucleotide long non-coding RNA. RefSeq lists it as uncharacterized. The transcript is spliced from 2 exons. The record is from RefSeq and is a predicted model, not a curated record. NCBI's taxonomy places the organism in Eukaryota, Metazoa, Arthropoda, Insecta, Coleoptera, Curculionidae.
UAUAACAUCUGCACAUCGUCUUGGCAUGGACUCAAUUAAUUUCAUAAUAUAGUCAUUGCUUACUUCUUUCCAAGCCUUUUCCACUAUUUCAAAGAGAAUAUUUGUAUUAGAGCAUGUGCCUGAUUUUGGUGUCAAUGUAAUGCCAUAAAUUCUCUAUAGGGUUUAGGUCUGGCGAUUGAGAUGGCCAGACCAUUACAUUUAUUUUUUCAUCGGAUAGCCACCUCUUAAAAAAUUGAGAAGCAUGUUUUGGAUCAUUGUCAUGCUGAAAUAUGGCUGUUACUGGCAUGACUUCAUCCAUAUAUGGCACUAAAUGUGUUUGCAGAAUGUCUUUGUACAUGAAACAAUCCAUUUUGCCCACUAUUUUUACUAUGGGUCCCAUGCCACAAGCCGAGAAACAUCCCCAUACAAGAAUAUUUCCCCCUCCAUGUUUAACUGUGGGGCAAAUGUACUUUUUGUUUAAUCUUUGUGCACUGGGGCUUCUGACGUACAUCACUCCAGUCCUGAAUAAAUUAUAUUUAGAUUCAUCACUAAACACUACUUUCUUCCAAUCAGCUACAGACCAGUGGACAUGAGAUUGGGCAAAGUGAAAACGAGCCUUGACGUUCUUCUUUGAGAGUAACGGUUUUUUGGCAGGGCGACGAGCAGUGUUCUGUAUCUGGUGUGGCUGCCAGAACUGAGGUGUUUUGGUAUCUUGCACUACCCACAUUCACUUUAACAAGAAAAUCCCUGUUCUCCUGUGAACAUCUGUAAAACCUCUUCCCAAUUACACAAAAGCUCACAUUAGAAAAUGAUGAAUAGAGCUCAUGUUCAUUGGAUGAAUAAUUUGAGAUCUUAAAUUAGAUAUUAUGUACUUUUAGUGUUUAAUUUUGUCAUGUUUUUUAUUGAUUUAUAUACUGUAUGUUCUUGACUGUUCUAUUAAUGGAAUUGUAUGUACUUUAAAAAUGUUGAUUCUUUUUAUAGCAUAUUAUAUUUAACACGCAUA